GGCUGCAUGUCCAGUAGUCGACUGCAUGGAGAAUGGACUUCUUUUUCUUCUUCUUGCAGACUUUCUGUAGAAUUCUCACGUGUGCAGUGGAGAAUUCUUUCUUUGCUUUCUUCAUGCUUGCGGCUUCUUGUUUUCAUAUUAGGUGUUGACUCCAACAGACGCCUCGACAUAUCUACGGGCCAUUGGGGCCAAUGAAGGCCAACCCAAGACAAUGCAAAAGUAGAUUUAGAAAAAAAAAAAAAAAAAGACUGCUAAACAACCCUUAUUCAGCAUGCCAAUAAAUCUGGACAGUAAGGGUGUGCAUGAUAAAAUUUCUACUUCUCUAUUUCUCUAUUCCGGAAAACAGGUUUGGAACAGAAAUUCAUUUGGUAAUGCAAUUCAAUUUUCUAUUUCUGGAAUACUUCUAUUCCAGAAAUAGAUUUGAAGAAAUCAUAAGCUAAAAUUUUUAACUUCUCAAUUUCUGAAAUAGAAAUUGAGAAAUCAAUUUCUGGCUAGAAAUUAAUUUUUGUUCCAAAAAUUUUGUCAUUCGCACCCUAAGUAUCGACGCACUCUUUGAGUUUGGGAACAUAUUAUAAUAAAAACACUUCCCCGAGGUAUGAUUUAGGGUUAUUAUUCAUUAAAGAGGAGGCCUUUUUUUUUUUUUUUCUAAAGGCUUGUACCAUGCUUGGGGGUUCAAAGGAAGUCUAUUGCCCCAUGGAUUUAGAGGUGUAUGGCUGGCCAAGGAGAUCCCAUCUUGGACUAAUUUGGUUCAAAUUUAAGGUGCCAUUGUUUCCCUAUCUGGUAUACCUAAAAAUAGCCUCAUUUGCUCGUUCAAUCUUUUCCUAUUGAAUCACCACCACAUGAGGGAGGGUUAACGAUGUGAAACAAAACGGGUGAUUAGAGGGUGGUCAUUAUUUGAACGAAUUUUGAAAUUAAAUGACGAUGGGCAUAGAAAGAUGAGAUACAUGAAUGCGAGUCCAUGCAAGGUGCAAUAUGCGAGUUCAUGCAAUAUCGAUGCUUUUGGUUAGGGAUCAAAUUCUGAAAGUAUAUGAUCCCUAAUUUUCUUAUGAAAUGCACAAAUAAUUUGUGAGCAAAAAUUUAGUUGUCAAUAUUAUAUUUAAAUUGAAAGAAGAACCGAAAAAGAUGAGUAGCAUGAAACGAAAAAUCAAUGGAAAAAUCAACGAUGUCACUGAAGUCCAAAUGCAAAGCAUCCUUUUCCUUCAGAUAGCCUAUGACCGCUUUGAUUUUGGCAGGGGAAUUCAUAAACUUGAUCUAGAAAUGAGGAGACACGUGUUAACUGAGAAUGAGAAUCUAUUGGUACCUCAGUAGCCUCUCAAAUUAUGCUGAAUCUAGAUGGGAAUUCAUUUCUGCUGUGACCAAUCAUAAAAGUGAUGCAGUUUUCUAAUUGACCAAUUUGCCAAAAAGUUGCAUAUACUGGAGCCCUUAAAAAUUUUGCCAUCUGGAAUU
This 1446-nucleotide long non-coding RNA is filed under the name Eucalyptus grandis. RNAcentral's name for it is "long non-coding RNA (EGRA_LNC001748)". Lineage: Eukaryota; Viridiplantae; Streptophyta; Magnoliopsida; Myrtales; Myrtaceae. The record is from RNAcentral.